This 253-nucleotide ribosomal RNA is filed under the name uncultured bacterium. Its description in RNAcentral is "partial 16S ribosomal RNA". It matches the Rfam family "Bacterial small subunit ribosomal RNA", at positions 524 to 776 of the family's 1533-position model. The record is from RNAcentral.
UACGUAGGGGGCAAGCGUUGUCCGGAAUCAUUGGGCGUAAAGAGCGUGUAGGCGGUUCGGUAAGUCCGUCGUGAAAGUCCAGGGCUCAACCCUGGAAAGCCGAUGGAUACUGCCGGACUAGAGUCCGGAAGAGGCGAGUGGAAUUCCUGGUGUAGCGGUGAAAUGCGCAGAUAUCAGGGGGAACACCUAUGGCGAAGGCAGCUCGCUGGGACGGCACUGACGCUGAGACGCGAAAGCGUGGGGAGCAAACAGG